Molecule: ribosomal RNA, 507 nt
Filed under: uncultured bacterium
Lineage: Bacteria
Description: bacterial SSU rRNA
Rfam family: Bacterial small subunit ribosomal RNA
Source: RNAcentral
GAUCAUGGCUCAGGAUGAACGCUAGCGGCAGGCUUAACACAUGCAAGUCGAGGGGCAGCAUGAGGCGGAGAUUCGUCGAAGUCUUGAUGGCGACCGGCGCAAGGGUGCGUAACGCGUGAGCAACUUGCCCGUUUCUGGGGAAUAACCGGUGGAAACGCCGACUAAUACCCCAUAGUAUUGAGUUUAGGCAUCUUUACUCAAUUAAAGAUUUAUCGGUAACGGAUGGGGAUGCGUGACAUUAGAUAGUAGGCGGGGUAACGGCCCACCUAGUCUACGAUGUCUAGGGGUUCUGAGAGGAAGGUCCCCCACACUGGAACUGAGACACGGUCCAGACUCCUACGGGAGGCAGCAGUGAGGAAUAUUGGUCAAUGGUCGGAAGACUGAACCAGCCAAGUAGCGUGAAGGAUGAAGGUUCUAUGGAUUGUAAACUUCUUUUAUACGGGAAUAAAACCUCCCACGUGUGGGAGCUUGUAUGUACCGUAUGAAUAAGCAUCGGCUAACUCCGUG